GCUGGGAGAGCGCCUGCUUUGCACGCAGGAGGUCAGCGGUUCGAUCCCGCUAGGCUCCACUUGAUUUCAAAAA
This 73-nucleotide transfer RNA is filed under the name Bacillus subtilis subsp. subtilis 6051-HGW. RNAcentral's name for it is "tRNA-Ala". The stretch from base 1 to 59 matches the Rfam family "tRNA", at positions 15 to 71 of the family's 71-position model. Rfam says of the family: Transfer RNA (tRNA) molecules are approximately 80 nucleotides in length. Their secondary structure includes four short double-helical elements and three loops (D, anti-codon, and T loops). Lineage: Bacteria; Bacillati; Bacillota; Bacilli; Caryophanales; Bacillaceae. The record is from RNAcentral.